This 997-nucleotide ribosomal RNA is filed under the name uncultured bacterium. Its description in RNAcentral is "bacterial SSU rRNA". It matches the Rfam family "Bacterial small subunit ribosomal RNA", at positions 56 to 1026 of the family's 1533-position model. The record is from RNAcentral.
UGCAGUCGUACGAGGAUCGUCGGGUUAGCAAUAAUUCGGCGGUUCUAGUGGCGCACGGGUGAGUAACACGUGGGUAACCCACCCUUGAGACCGGGAUACCCUCUCGAAAGGGAGGCUAAUACUGGAUACGUUCCCUGGGACGCAAGAUCUGGGGAGGAAAGGUGGCGAAAGCUGCCGCUCUUGGAGGGGCUCGCGGCCUAUCAGCUAGUUGGUGAGGUAACGGCUCACCAAGGCUAUGACGGGUAGCUGGUCUGAGAGGACGACCAGCCACACGGGAACUGAGACACGGUCCCGACUCCUACGGGAGGCAGCAGUGGGGAAUUUUCCGCAAUGGGCGAAAGCCUGACGGAGUGACGCCGCGUGGGGGACGAAGGCCUUCGGGUCGUAAACCCCUGUCAGAGGGAAAGAAGGGUGUCGGCGUGAAUAGCGCCGGCAUUUGACGGUACCUUCAGAGGAAGCCCCGGCCAACUCUGUGCCAGCAGCCGCGGUAAGACAGAGGGGGCAAGCGUUGCUCGGAAUCACUGGGCGUAAAGGGCGCGUAGGCGGGAUGGCAAGUCGGUCGUGAAAUCCUUCGGCUCAACCGAAGAACGUCGGCCGAUACUGCUGUUCUUGAGGGUUGCAGAGGAGAUUGGAAUUCCCGGUGUAGCGGUGAAAUGUGUAGAGAUCGGGAAGAACACCGGUGGCGAAGGCGGGUCUCUGGGCAUUUCCUGACGCUGAGGCGCGAAAGCGUGGGGAGCAAACGGGAUUAGAUACCCCGGUAGUCCACGCUGUAAACGAUGACGACUAGGUGUGGGGGGGGUUAGUCCUUUCCGUGCCGCAGCUAACGCAUUAAGUCGUCCGCCUGGGGAGUACGGCCGCAAGGUUGAAACUCAAAGGAAUUGACGGGGGCCCGCACAAGCGGUGGAGCAUGUGGUUCAAUUCGAUGCAGAGCGAAGAACCUUUACCUGGGCUUGACAUGCUGGAAGUAGAAACCCGAAAGGGGGAGGCCUGUUAAGUC